Molecule: long non-coding RNA, 6974 nt
Filed under: Sus scrofa (pig)
Lineage: Eukaryota; Metazoa; Chordata; Mammalia; Artiodactyla; Suidae
Description: lncRNA (ENSSSCG00030041482.1, ENSSSCG00150011607.1)
Source: RNAcentral
GCCACGACGGGAACUCCUCAAUUUUCUUUUUUUAAAAAUUAUUUUUAUUUUUUCCAUUACAGUUGGUUUACAGUGUUCUGUCAAUUUUCUACUGUACAACAAAAUGACCCAGUCACGCAUACAUAUAUACAUUUUUUUUUUUCUCACAUUGUUGCCAGAAUUUGGCCUCUGUCUGCUGGUGCCAAAUUGAAACAGAGAGACAGAGUUUUGGGUAAAGGAGAAAGAAAAAAUAGCUUUAUUGCUUUGCCAGGCAAAGGAGGGUCACAGCAGGCCAACAACUUAAGGACUAUGCCCCCCCACCCCUCCCCCAGAAAGCAUUUUGGGAAGUUUUAUAGUUAAAAGGAGAAAAACAGGUUUUCAGAUAGGAAUCAGGAACGGGACAAACAUGCGUUCUUCUUUCUUUGGGGGCAUCUUAGUCAUCAAAGCUGGAGUCAGGAGAUGCUCACGAUGGCGGUCUUCUGGGUUAUUGCCUUGAGUAACAGUACUUGCAAAAAAGGCAUAUUGAUCAGAGAUUAGAACAAACUAGGAAAGUUCCUGAAAAACAUCAUGUGCUAGUAAUCUUUAAUAACCCACAGGCAAUUAUGCUCAGGGUGCCUAAUCUUUAGCUUAUGGGUGAGAAACCAUACACGGCCCUGUGGGUCUCCUGCACCCAGGCUGUGCACAGGGCCAUGUCUUGUUUCAACAUUAUCCUCCAUCAUGUUCCAUCAUAAAUGACUAGAUAUAGGUCCCAGCAGGAUCUUAUUGCUUAUUCACUCCAAAUGCAAUAGUUUGCAUCUAUUAACCCCAGAUUCCUAGUCCAUCCCACUCUCUCCCUCUCCCUUAUUCUCAAUUUUCUUAACCUAUUAACUUCUAAGCAUGAUUGAUUGCAUAAUGCAUAGAAAAUUCUGGGUGCUUUGUUUUCUCUCUUCUGUCACUUUAAGUUAUUUCCAUCUGGAGUGGGGCGAACCAUCAGGGAGAGAUCUAACUGGCAGAGAUUCUGGAGCACCUGCCGGAUGCAGGGGACUUGCUGGUGUUCAGAACAGAGGGGAAGUGGAGUUCUGAGGCUGUAUGAGCUCCACAGAAUCAGAGAAAGGGUUAACAGUUUUUCCUGGGUGGCCACACAAUUAAUGUGGAGUUGCCUGCUGUGAGUGACUUGUUAUAUUAUCUUGGAAAUCUAUCCUAAGUGUUUAAGGGAGAUAGCAAAGGCAAUGCAUUUAGUUGAAAACCACCAAUCUUCAACUGUGAACUUCAAUUGUUGAAUCAGUCAACAAGGCUUUAUGGAGGGUUUACGAAGUGCUGGUCAACCCCUGGAUCCUGGGGAACUGCAGGCUGGUUAAGAGGAUGGGGCCAUGGAGUUAGACCACACAGUCUCACUAACUUCCAGCUUGGGACUUAGGCAGUUUAUGUCAUCUCCUCUCCUUUUCCUUGGUGACCACAGAGACCAUGUGGUUUGGAUGGCAGCACCGUAAGGUGGAGGGUUCUGGCUCUGGAGCCACCACAUGGAGAAGAGUUGCUCAGGAGAGCCAGUGACUCAUCUCCUGCUGUGGUGGGAGUGAGGAGAGGCCAUGGAUGUGCUAAACCAUCUCGGUUUUAGGCUUUGUCUGUCAUCACUGCAGAGCCCAAGAAGAAACGAAUGUAUGACAGCCAUCUCUUGUCCCCUGUCCUCUGCCCGCCUGCUGAGGGUUCCUCCUCUAGGUCUUCCCACUGCCCAGACCCCUGCCCACCUUGUACCCUUAGUCCACCUCUGAGGCUAGGAGGGAACUGUUGCCCCACCCUUCCCUCCAUUUCUUACUUCUGUGUGCUUCCUGGGGCUCUCCUCAGACCACAGGUGCCUCUGGAACCCCAGCAGAGACCCCCAGGUCACAAAUGUGAAACUUAGACGACAGAGGUCAGAGUUAGGUGGUGUCAUGGAAGACACCAGUGGACAUACCCCACUCUAGACCUCACAGCCUCUGAAUUGGAAACCAGGCUGUCCUGGCAAAGGCAGCCUUUCCUUCUGUCCUCUAAUAUCAAGAAACGUGGUGGCCUUGCAUGGCAGGGAAGGGGGUUCAUCGGACAGUGACCGUCUCUCCCAACACUUUCCAUUAGAAAAUUGUUCCUCACUGAAUGUGAUGGGAUAGACCGUCAGUCCCCAAGGUGCUCUGCGAGGACGUGGGGGCCAGAUUAGUGGGGCUACAUGGCACGAAGCAUCCCUGUCUUGAGACUGUGCAUGUACGUUAGUGCACCCAGGUUUUGAGAUGUCCUGAGCUUGAUUUAACCCAACUCGUUCGACCCUCAGCACAUCUUCUCCUUUUGUUCACCAGCCCUAGCAGGGACAAAUUUAGAGAAAUGACCAAAUUGAUCGUUUAUCCUUAUUGCACAACCCCUGACUUUUACAGCUUCAGUUGGGGCUAUCCCUUAACAGGAGGUCUACACUGGGUGUUGGGGGCAGUAGAGAAAGUAUCAUUCUUUAAGGUGGAUACUUUAGGUGAUUUUUCAUGGUUUCACACUAUUGUAUCCUAAUGAUGAUUAAUAGGAAGUAAUAUAACUAAAUUUAAUAAAUGCUAGUAAAGUGCAAUUACUUCCCUUUUAAUAGAAGAGGAUCAAGACAUUUCCUUCGAAGGGAAGGGAAGUUUAGUUUUAUGUGCCUAGUUAUGCUUAAAUUUUUAUAAAAAUGUGUUCUGAAAAAAAAAAGGUAUAAAUCAAACUAUUGAAAAAAACAUCUCAGGAAUUCCCAUUGUGGCUCAGCAGGUUACCAACCCAACUAGUAUCCAUGAGGAUGCGGGUUUGAUCCCUGACCUUGCUCAGUGGGUUAAGGAUCCGGUGUUGCCUUGAGCUGUGGUAGGGGUCGCAGACGUGGCUCCGAUCUGGUGUUGCUGUGGUUGUGGUGUAGGCUGGCAGCUGUGGCUCUGAUUUGAUCUCUAGCCUGGGAACUUCCAUAUGCCCUAAAAAGCAAAAAAGCAAAAAAGCAAAAACAAAACAAAACAAAAAAAUCUCAUUUUCUCAUUGACUUAGUAAAGCUUUCAUCUCAGUUGAUACCAAUAUGAGAUUAAAAAAAUUAAUUUAUUUUUUCCAUCUUUUAUCCCCCUGAUGUUUUAACUCAGCUAAUUAUCAGGAGAUUCCUCAAUGCACAAAGAAAUCUAGCAGUGAAUCUUUAAAUAAAUGUUCACUCUCUAUAGAUACCUUUGGUAGAUUUAGGGGCAGAGCUUUCUAUAUUAUAAACAUCUAAUCAAUCAGUAAGUUCUAAAUAAAUAAGUAAAUUUUUUCUUUAGAUUUCCUUAGUGCAGCUUACAUCCAAAUAUGGGGACUAUUUGAGCAAAACCUAAGUUUAUGUCUGCUGUCAGAAAUGUAUUUCUUGGCUGGAACUCAUACUUUUGGAAAAAGUGAGCAUGUGGAUACAUGUUGAAAGUGUGGAUAUAAAGUUUUACUCUGAUUGCUGAAGAAGUUUUCCUGGAAAGCAGUUUCAAGAGAAAAGUGGUGUUACCAUGGUCAGGUUGGAGGAAGAAAAAUGAAAUACACCGAGAUUCUGAAAGGAGCAAAAUGGGAAAGAUGACUGUGUUUCUCUCAAGCAACAGAUCAUGCUGUGAGCUCCCCACUUUAUCCAUUUUGUUCAUUGUGUUAAUUCUACAUCUCACAUCCUCCUCAUGCCCUCUUGCAUUUGCCCAGCUCAGAAGCAUCUGGGCAGGUCUCACUGUCCGUCAAGAGCUCUGCCUUUAAAGUCUUGCCUUUGCAGCCGUGGCCUGCCCCUGAGGUGGCCUUCCUGGCAGCUAUUGAGAAACAUGGCCCUUUUGGGGCACCACCUAUGAGAGCUUUGGGCUGGCUCUAAAGGCCUGCCAUUGACUAGAACACUGGAGAAGAGGGGCAGCUUUGGAGAGAAAGCACGGUUCACUUUGACAUGCUUGGUUUGAAGCUCCUUUUUGACAUCCAGGCAGGGUGAGCCUGGGGCUGGGGGUAAGGAUUCAGCCGUUGUCAGUUACACACUGUGUAGUUGGGAGGAGCUGAGAAGGAGCCCUAAUUUUUAGAGUUAGAAAAGGGAGGAGGAGCCAACCAAGAGUGACUUAAAAGGAAUAGCCAAGAGAGAACCCAAGAAUAGCCAAGGAAGUGCUUCAUAGAGGAGGAAAGGGUGAUCACGUGUCACAUGCAUGAUGGAGCAGCAAGGGUGGAGGUGGGACUCGACCUCAGAUUUCCCAAGGAUUAAGCCAGCUGAUGCCCCUGGAGCAGAGUGGGGGCUAUGAAACAUUCCAUGAUCAUUAUCAUCACAGUAUUGACUAAUAAUUGUAUGGAUCUUCACAUUUUAAUAGCCACUAGUAUAAUAGUGUCACUCACUAUUGAUAAGCCUCAUUAUUCCUAUGAGGGUCUGUGGGCUGUUGGGCAGCUAACUAAAACCUUUAUACCAUUUGAUGGAGCUCCCACAGUGGUGCAGGGGUUGAGAACCUGACUACAGCAGCUCGGGACGCUGUGGAGGAGCAGUUUCAAUCCCUGGCCUGGCACAGUGGGUUAAAGGAUCUGGCAUUACCACAGCUGCGGUGUAGGUGGCAGCUGAGACUCAGAUUCAAUCCCUGGCCCGGGAAUUUACAUCUGCUGCAUGUGCAGAAAUAAAAAAUAAAUACAUAAAACUUUUCUAUGCUUUGAAUAGGAGAGAAGAAAUUUGAUUCCUUCUCUAUCAUGAUUAUUUCCUGUGUCUUGUCACACUCCAGGACCAAUCCGCUCCAAGUGGAACAGCUGGCCCUAAGAAGAACUUGUGUUCAGUCUUGCCAGCAUAUUGUUGUUUGGCUCUUCUAUGUCCAUUUACAUGACUGUGUUGUAUGAGGACAUUUCCAUGCUCCUUUAUGGUUUUGUAAUGAAUGUGGUGAUGAUACAUCAACCUUGAUAAACUGCAAAGUGUACCCGUCUCUUCCCUCUUUUCUUCGGCCACCUGUCCCUGGCUUCAGUUUUGACUCAGAUGAGUGAGGAUGUCUAUGUAGACCUGGCAAGAAAUAUCCAAGUGUCAAUGACAUGUACUACACAAAUAUCCAAGGCCAUGUCUCUUGGAGCAUCUAGGUCCUUUAUUUGGUGAGAAGUUGCUCCUAUACAUCACACCUGCUCCGCACAUCCCUCAGGUAUGGAGAAUGGGCAGCUGGUGGUCAUUUAUUUCCACAUUUUUGGGGUAGCAGGCAGAAUCCUGGUGUGAGGGAUAAUCAAACAUAGCUGCUCUUCCCCUGCUUGUGAAUGCCACCUGUCACCCCAUCUAGCUCUGUCCACUCUCCUCAGUCUCUGGCCACUGCCCUCUGGCUACUGCCCUGCUCAGCAGCAUCUCCACCACUGCAUCAUCAGGACAAAGAAGACAGAUGAACCCAUAUCCCCCUGGAGUCCUGGGUAGCCUGGACUCUUGAAUUUACGCUAGGCUUUAUGAUGAAUUAUAAGCUGGCUGUAGUAGAACUUUGUUAUCUGAGAUUGAGGGACAGAAACAUACACUGGCUGGAGCUCAGGGUUGCAACAAAGAGAAGCUUCAGUUGUUGAUCUGCUUCUGCACAUGAAAUGGACCUCCGAGAUGCCUGGACCGCUCCCUGAACUCGACUCUAUACCCAAAUCCCACCUCCACAUCCCUGCUUGGACGUUGACUAACCAUCUCAAAGCGAAUACAUCCAACACUCAACUCCCGAUUGCCUCCACCUCCAAAGCUCUCUUCCAGCAGUCUCCCCUUUCUCAGUAAAUGACAGCUCCAUCCUCCCAUUGGCUCAGGCCCAAAUCUUGGAGUCAGUUUUGACUCCUUUUUCACUUUUCUCAUUUAUCACAAUAUAUAUCCUGAAUCCAAUCAAUUCUCAAGAUCUCUACUUACCAAUGGGUGUGAGCUACCUUUAUGUCUCACCUGGAAUUGUCAGUGGCUUUCUAUCUCACUUCCCAGCCUCCACCCUGCCCCGCCCCCACCUGCCUACUAUCAGUGCUCACCCUGCCGCCAAGGCAAUCUGUUGAAAUAUGGCAGAUCACCUCCAUUCCCUGCUCAAAACCCCCUGAUGGCUCGCAUCUCAGAGAACAUCCAAGUCCAGUACAGUCUGGCUCCAUUACUCCCCACCUUCAUCUCCUGUUUGCCUCCCUUCACCAACUCUGGCUACACUGGCCUCCCUCUGCUCCUGGAGCGUUUCAGGAGCAGGCCUCAGGGCUUUUGCUCCUGCUGUUCCUUCUUUCCGGAGCCCUCUUCCCCCACAUUCACACCCCUCACACCUUUUCUUUCAAUGCCACCUUCUCAGUAAGGACUUUCCUUACUACCCAGUGAAAAAUGCAGUUCUCUGGCUGGCCCCCUCCCCCCAUCUACACUCCUUCCACCUCCCUGCUUUAUUUUCUCUAUGAUGUACUCACCUGACAAGCUGUAGUAUAGAGUAAAAGGCUUAACAGCACGGACCCUGGAGAUGGACCAGUAUCAUUCUAUUGCUAUUUUUUUCCUAAAAAGCCUUAUUUUGCAGUUAGAAGAGUUUGGAAUAAAAUACAUCAACAUAUAAUACUGUUUUUCUCCAGAUGGUGAGAUAAUGAAUAAUUUUAAUUUUCUUUAUCCUCCCUAUAUUUUCGAAUGAGUUCCUACUUUCAUGAUCAUGAAAAAAGAAUAUCAUUUGUUUCAAAUAGGGAAAAAGGGGAGUUCCCAUCGUGGUGCAGUGGAAACAAUCCAACUAGGAGCCAUGAGGCUGCGGGUUCAAUCCCUGGCCUUGCUCAGUGGGUUAAGGAUCUGGCGUCGCCGUGAGCUGUGGUGUAGGUUGCAGACAUGGCUUGGAUCUGGUGUUGCUGUGGCUCUGGUGUAGGCUGGCAGCUACAGGUCCGAUUAGACCCCUAGCCUGGGAACCUCCAUAUACGCAGGUGUGGCCCUAAAAGGACAAAAAGACAAAGAAUAAGUAAAUAAAUAAAAUAGGGAAAAAGGAAGUUUGCUUGUGGCUCAGCAGGUUAAGGAUCUGGCAUUUUCACAACUGUGGCACAGUUUCGCCCCCUGGUCUAGGAACUUCCACAUGCCUCUUGUGGGCCAAAAAAUUAAAAAAAAAAAAAAAAAAAAA